RNAcentral lists this ribosomal RNA (253 nucleotides) under uncultured bacterium. Its description in RNAcentral is "partial 16S ribosomal RNA". It matches the Rfam family "Bacterial small subunit ribosomal RNA", at positions 524 to 776 of the family's 1533-position model. The record is from RNAcentral. RNAcentral also lists the same sequence under 1 other name.
CACGUAGGUGGCGAGCGUUAUCCGGAUUUACUGGGCGUAAAGCGUGUGCAGACGGGGUGGCAAGUGGUGUAUGAAAGGGUGAGGCUCAACCUCACGAUGGUAUGUCAGACUGCUGCUCUAGAGGGCGAGAGAGGGAUGUGGAAUUCCGGGUGUAGUGGUGAAAUGCGUAGAGAUCCGGAGGAACCCCAGAGGCGCAAGCGGCGUCCUGGCUCGCACCUGACGUUCAGACACGACAGCAUGGGGAGCGAACGGG